RNAcentral lists this long non-coding RNA (4254 nucleotides) under Homo sapiens (human). RNAcentral's name for it is "HSALNT0362643". The record is from RNAcentral. Lineage: Eukaryota; Metazoa; Chordata; Mammalia; Primates; Hominidae.
CCAUGACCCUGCCAAAUCCCCCUCUGUGAGAAACACCCAAGAAUUAUCAAUAAAAAAAUAAAUUAAAAAAAAAAAUAAAUAAAUAAAUCCAGCAAAAAUAAAAAUAAAAAAUAAAAUCCCCUUGAAUACAUUUGAGGUAAUGUUGUAGUUUUCAGCUCCUCCCACGAGAGAUUUUAUGGAGUGCCUAACUGUGCUACCCGGGUGCUGCUCCUGUCGUUAGUGGUGGCACCCAGGAGGAAUUAAAAUUACAAGAGUGUUUCCUUCCAGAUGUUGUUGCUACAGGCUCAAGGUGCUCUUUUAACUGGGACAUCAGGCUUUCUUGAAAUAGACAAGAAUUCUAGAAACAUGACAUUGUGCCUGAUUCAUCGCUUCAACUUGCCACUGACUCAUUCUCUCCUUGAUAGGUUAUUCAACAGUAACUUUAAUUACAUCAUUUACUUAUUGUUUUCUUCCUUGAUUUAUUCUCUUUCUACAAUUCUUGUUUAUCAUCUCAGUGAUUGGACCAUCUCACCUCUGAGACUUGGGUAGAAUUCUGUGGACUCUGGAAAUAGACAUGGAGGUUUUCAUGUAUCUCUGUUAAUGUGUACAAACACCCCCAGGCUUGUACACUUGAAAUACAUCAGUAGGAAGGGUAGUUCUCAAUUUGCUAGUGUUUCACACAGCUUGUCUUAUUUAAUGAUCUCAGCUGCCCUAUGAAGUAGAUACCAUCCUAUUAAAAAAUGCAGGAGCAGAGGCUCUGAGAGGGGACUGUAACUUACCCAAGAUCAUGUGGUAGAUUGCAAAACUGGUUCCAAAUCCCUACCCUUCCCUGUACGCACACCUUUUGCCAUUCAUCUGCAAUGUCCUUUUCUGAUUCUGGGCUCAGCAAUAUAACUUGCUCUGGCCAACAGGAUAACAACAGCAAAUGUGAUGUAAGCAAAAGCUUGAGAAAUACUUGUGCAACUAAUCAUGUUUGCCUUCUCUCUUGUACCUGUGCCAUUGCCAUGAGAACAUGCCUGGGCUAGGAUUAGAGACACUUGGAGCAGAGCUGAGUCAUCCCAGCUGUCCCAGUUGAGGCCAGCCUAGGUCAGUCGAUGGCAACCAAGCCCUAAGCAUGUUAGUGAGCCCAGCCAUGAUCAGCACAACCACCUAGCCAACCAUCCCAGACCUGUGAUCAAUAAAGCCUUACUAUUCCAUACCACCUAGGUUUUGUGAUUAUUUAUUUCACAGAAUUAUUAUGGCAGUAUGUAACUGAUAGAAGCGGUGUACAGGGAAGAGUAUUUGUUAGUCCGUUUUCACACUGCUGAUAAAGACAUAUGCGAGACUGAGCAAUUUACAAAAGAAAGAGGUUUAAUGGACUUACAGUUCCACGUGGCUGGGGAAGCCUCACAAUUGUGGUGAAAGGUGAAAGUCACAUCUCACAUGGCAGCAGACAAGAGAAGAAGAGCUUGUGCAGGGAAACUCCCCUUUUAAAAACCAUCAGAUCUCAUGAUACUUAUUCACUAUCAUCAGAAUAGCCUGGGAAAGACCUGUCCCCAUGAUUCAGUUACUUCCCACCGUGUCACUCCCACAACAAGUGGGAAUUCAAGAUGAGAUUUGGGUAGGGACACAGCAAAACCAUAUUAGAGCAGAUCUCUGGAAUUGGGCAGGCCAAGGUUUGAAUCCCAUCUGUUAUUUGGAGUGUGUGUUUCUUUUUGAGACUAAUCUCCUUACCCUUGAAAUGAGGUAAUAUACUUCCCUCAUAGGGUUGCUGGGAAGAUUAAACACGAGGUGAAGUAAAUAAAGCCCCAGGGACAUAAGCAAAAAAUAAUGGCUUCUCACAGCAAUGCUCCAGAACAUACAACAAGGGAAUACUGGGCCCAGUCCCAGGACUAUCCAAGUGUGAAGCCAACACCUUUUCACAUCAACUCCAAGUUCCAUGGGCUGACUGGACUCCACUGGGAGUUCUUGAUGUCUCUCGUGUGGUUGUGUGAGAUAGUGGCUGGGACUGGACUCAUCUGAAGGCUUGACUGGGCUGGAUGCCCAAGAUAGCCCACUUUUAGACAGAGGUGGCUGGCAGUUGAUGCUGACUGUCAGCUGGGGACUCAGCUGAGAGUGUUAACUGGAGUCCCUAGACGUGGCUUCUCCACAUGGCUUGGGCUUCUCAUGGAAGGGCACCUGGAUUCUGAGAGAGAGCAUCCCAAGAGACACAAGUGGAAAUGAUAAGGCUUCUUAUGACGUAGACUGGAGGUACUGAGACAUCACUUUUGCUACAUUAGAAGGUUAGAUGCUGACAUUUUAUGAUUUCACAACUUGGAUCCUCUGUCCUCUGAUACUGAAUCAGAUAGUAGUUUAUGGAGCUGAGCAGAGAGCCAGCUGGUCCUGGGCACAGAGGAGGCUGUGUUCCAUGCUGAAGACAAGAACAUAUGGUGGACGUACCAUCCUAACUAUCUGGGAAGGGAGCUUCGUGGCUACAUGGGAGUUAUCAUCUGCCAGUGCCGGCUGCAUCCUGGCUGUGCCCACCUCUGGACUCUGAAUCUCUGCACCUCAGUACCCCCAACCCCAACACGACUGUGAUGUUAGGCAUAUAUUAGGCAUGUGAAGAUGAGAAAGAGAAGAUACAGCUCCCAUGUUUAUCUCCAUGAGAAGAUAAGCCACAGGGAGAGAGAAAGACUGUUGUGCACGAGAGGGAGUGUCAAAUGCCAAAUGGAUGUCAGCAGUCGGGGUGUGCUAGAGGCACUCAGGGGAAGGGAGGCUGGGCAUAGAGGGUCAUGCUGGAGGAGGUGACUCUGGAUCUGAAUCUUGAAAGCCUCGGCAACACGAGCAAAACUCUGUCUCAAAAAAAGAGGCUUCAGAGAGCUGCCUGGCCCUUCUCAUCCUUCUGCCAUGUGAAGACAUAGCGUGCAUCCCCUCUGGAGGGUAUAGGAACAAGGUGUCAUCUUGGAAGGAGAGAGCAAGCCCUCACCAGACACCAAAUCUACCGGCACCUUGACCUCCAGAACUUGCAGUUCCUGUUCUCCUGGCUGGACCCUGACUGAUGCCAUGGGGAAAGCCCUCGGGCUCGUGGACCUUAAAUUCCAGGUCCUGUUGUGCCCAACUCAUGAUUUAUCCAGGUCACACCAGUCUGGUCUGUCACAGUAAGAGGGCACCAUCACAUACACUAUAAUAUGAAUCAUGACCCCCGGAGUUGUGUGGAGUUUCUGCAUCUCUCCCUCCCCACUGUGGCUACCCUCAUCCAGCAACCAUCCUGUCUCUCACCGGUAUUACCGCAGCUGAGACCCAGGUCUUAAGGAAGCUGAGACCCAGGCCAGCAGGGGCCUCACAGCUUGGAAAAAGAGGAGGGUGUAAGACUCUGGAUGAAGCUGAGAGAUCCUUCCAUGCUUGGCUGAGAGACUACACAGACAUGAGCUUCAGGAGACUCCAAAGCCUCGGAUCCCCUUCUAAACUAGCACUGAAUUCUGAUUGGCUGUCUUUGCCUGCCUCAGUUUGUUCCUUUUACUGAUUGGCUAGGUUCUUCUGCCCAUGGCAGAGCCCUGCUCCAGCCACCGGAUCCUCCCACCUGCCACAGUGUCACCUGGGAUUGGCUGGGCUCUGAAAGGCCAGGCUGGCUUGACUCUUGCCAUCAUCAGAUUCUUCCUCAUUAAACAAAUGAAUCACAAUCCUAAUUAAUUUGAGCAACAGAAUUUAUGUAACUACUCCCAGCAGGAUGUCUGCUCUCAGUCAGCAGAGAGAUUACUUCCUCUCUCUGGGAAAUUCCAGCCUUGCUGGUCAAUAAGCCUUAAUGAUGACUGAAAUCUCCCAUCUGUCUCUGCUCAGGGCAGGUAACCCCUACUAAGCAGACACCCAGUUGGCUCGAGGCAGUACCCCGGGCACCGGCAGGACAAGGACAACGAUCUCCCAGCCUAGAUGUGUCCUGAGCCACAUGGAGCACACAGAUUACAGGAUCUGACUCCCAUUUGGGCCUUCCACCUCCGCUGGCCUAAGCAGUCAAGUGUCAGAGAGCACUGGACCUAACAGCUCCCUCACCAGAGCAGCUGUGAUUCCUUCUUCAUUUCCAGCAGGGAAGACCCAACAACUUUUAUAAUAUGGGAUUUCUUUUAUUCUCAUGAUAAUAAUGUUCAUUGUGGAAAAUAAAAAAAAAUGAUAAAAUAAAAAUCAGCCAGAAUUCCAACUUCUGGAGAUUUUGGUGUCUUUCUGCAAAGUUCCUAUGCACAUAGAUACUUUAUAAAAUUAUGAACAUACUGUACAUACAGUUUUGGAAUAUGCCUUUUUCCUUCUGUCAUGAAAAAGUCUUCA